Molecule: transfer RNA, 75 nt
Filed under: Schistocerca americana (American grasshopper)
Lineage: Eukaryota; Metazoa; Arthropoda; Insecta; Orthoptera; Acrididae
Description: tRNA-Thr
Rfam family: tRNA
About the family: Transfer RNA (tRNA) molecules are approximately 80 nucleotides in length. Their secondary structure includes four short double-helical elements and three loops (D, anti-codon, and T loops).
Source: RNAcentral
GCCCUCGAUGGUUCAGAUGGGUAGAGCGUCUGCUACGUAAGCAGGAGAUCCCGGGUUCGAGUCCCGGUCAAGGCA